This 28-nucleotide non-coding RNA is filed under the name Mus musculus (house mouse). Lineage: Eukaryota; Metazoa; Chordata; Mammalia; Rodentia; Muridae. The record is from RNAcentral.
UGGUGACCGCACAGAGAAUACUAAGGAA